CGACAUCUUAGAAACAGACGUCAUUGAGUGCUUUCAAAAUGGCCUCUACGAUCGUCGAACAUACCAAGACUUUGGUAGACAUCGUCCAGUCACCAUCAAAGAUCUCAACGUCAUGGUACAACAAUGGGCAGACGAAGAAGAUAAAGAGCAUGAGCGAUUCGGCUCCCAUCGCAACCGCAAUUGCGACAACAAUAACAACAGUCAUGAACAAGAUAGAAACCAAAAUACUAAUACUCGAAACAACUACUCAGGUAAUCCGAACCGCAAGCGCAAACCCGAUAACAGAGUUGCUACUAUGACCAACUCAAGAAAGAAAGGAUCCUGCAAACGUGACGAAGGGCCCACCUUCACCGAGUUACUCAAGAAAUAAUGCCCAUGGCAUCCAAACAGCAAACACUCGGCGAUAGAUUGCUACAGCAUGCGCCGAGUAAUGCAAGACCUACCCGCACCACCACCU
RNAcentral lists this long non-coding RNA (457 nucleotides) under Setaria viridis. RNAcentral describes it as "long non-coding RNA (SVIR_LNC000318)". The record is from RNAcentral. Lineage: Eukaryota; Viridiplantae; Streptophyta; Magnoliopsida; Poales; Poaceae.